Molecule: long non-coding RNA, 617 nt
Organism: Anopheles darlingi
Lineage: Eukaryota; Metazoa; Arthropoda; Insecta; Diptera; Culicidae
Exons: 3
Source: RefSeq, a predicted model, not a curated record
CUCGCGAUGCAAUUCGUUCUAGUUUCGUUCCUUUCGUGUAGUGUUUCCCGCAAAAAAGAAAGUUUUAGGGUCCCGAUGAGUCAAUUAAAGGCUCUCAAUCAGGUGUAAGGAUAUGCGCCCUUUCUAUCUAGGAAAGCUCUUCGGUCCGCUCCGAUUUCGGCAGAAGAAGUGGAAUUCGAUGUGAUUGCUGAUUGUGUGGUGCUGUUUUAGUAUUUAGUGGUGGGUGGUUUCUUAUCCGUUCUGUGUCCCUAAUCAAAGCGUGUAAAGUGGGCUGCGAUAAUGAUUUGCGGUGUCGAUCGAAUCCCCAAAUGAUUAGUCAUGUUUGAAGAGGUUUAUUAGUGCAUCCCGUAAAGAUUACGGUGGGUGUUGCUUGUUCUCCACCGAUUUCGCUGCGACACCUUCCUCUCCUGGAACCAAUCUUCCAGCGAUUGUUCGAGAGCAUGCAGAAGCUGGCCAUAUGAGUGAUCCAACACGAAUCCAGACUGACAACGUCCUGAUUUUGGAAACGCCAGCAACAUCUGGACAGUGCAUCGUAUUUCACCACCGGCGCUCGGGCAUCCACUGACGACAACAGAGUGACGCGUGACGGCUGCAUGCACAGUAGGCGGUAUCCGGUA